GCCGCGAUAGUUCAGUGGUUAGAACACUAGACUCCGCCUCUCGUGGUCCCGAGUUCAAUUCCUCGUCGCGGCG
Molecule: transfer RNA, 73 nt
Filed under: Penaeus chinensis
Lineage: Eukaryota; Metazoa; Arthropoda; Malacostraca; Decapoda; Penaeidae
Description: tRNA-Arg
Rfam family: tRNA
About the family: Transfer RNA (tRNA) molecules are approximately 80 nucleotides in length. Their secondary structure includes four short double-helical elements and three loops (D, anti-codon, and T loops).
Source: RNAcentral